CCCAGUACGAGAGGACCGGAGUGGACGAACCUCUGGUGUUCGGGUUGUGUCGCCAGACGCAUUGCCCGGUAGCUAAGUUCGGAAUCGAUAACCGCUGAAAGCAUCUAAGCGGGAAGCGAGCCCUGAGAUGAGUCUUCCCUGAUACUUUAAGUAUCCUAAAGGGUUGUUCGAGACUAGAACGUUGAUAGGCAGGGUGUGUAAGCGUUGUGAGGCGUUGAGCUAACCUGUACUAAUUGCCCGUGAGGCUUAACCAUACAACACCC
RNAcentral lists this ribosomal RNA (263 nucleotides) under Vibrio rotiferianus CAIM 577 = LMG 21460. RNAcentral describes it as "partial 23S ribosomal RNA". It matches the Rfam family "Bacterial large subunit ribosomal RNA", at positions 2677 to 2925 of the family's 2925-position model. The record is from RNAcentral. Lineage: Bacteria; Pseudomonadati; Pseudomonadota; Gammaproteobacteria; Vibrionales; Vibrionaceae.